GGGGUAUAGCCAAGCGGUAAGGCCCAGGGCUUUGAUCCCUGUAUGCCUAGGUUCGAUUCCUAGUGCCCCUGCCA
RNAcentral lists this transfer RNA (74 nucleotides) under Salmonella phage pSal-SNUABM-04. RNAcentral's name for it is "tRNA-Gln". It matches the Rfam family "tRNA". Rfam says of the family: Transfer RNA (tRNA) molecules are approximately 80 nucleotides in length. Their secondary structure includes four short double-helical elements and three loops (D, anti-codon, and T loops). Lineage: Duplodnaviria; Heunggongvirae; Uroviricota; Caudoviricetes; Chimalliviridae. The record is from RNAcentral. RNAcentral also lists the same sequence under 3 other names.